GAUAUGCUGGUGUGAUUUUCACCAGUAAGUUUUCCUAUUAUAUGUUGAGCUAACUUUUUAGGAUCCUGAGUCUUAGAUGGUUAGAUCAUUGAUUCUUGAGCUUGGAUUGGAAUAGUCAACAAUAGAUUUUCUUUCUUUUAGAAUUAAAGUUUAUAUUUCUCUAUCUAUUAGAAAGAAAUUGACAUUGAUUAUUGAUCUU
This 199-nucleotide long non-coding RNA is filed under the name Elaeis guineensis (African oil palm). Its description in RNAcentral is "long non-coding RNA (EGUI_LNC028016)". Lineage: Eukaryota; Viridiplantae; Streptophyta; Magnoliopsida; Arecales; Arecaceae. The record is from RNAcentral.